This 2894-nucleotide ribosomal RNA is filed under the name Pseudomonas sp. R5-89-07. RNAcentral's name for it is "23S ribosomal RNA". It matches the Rfam family "Bacterial large subunit ribosomal RNA". Lineage: Bacteria; Pseudomonadati; Pseudomonadota; Gammaproteobacteria; Pseudomonadales; Pseudomonadaceae. The record is from RNAcentral.
GGUCAAGUGAAGAAGCGCAUACGGUGGAUGCCUUGGCAGUCAGAGGCGAUGAAAGACGUGGUAGCCUGCGAAAAGCUUCGGGGAGUCGGCAAACAGACUUUGAUCCGGAGAUGUCUGAAUGGGGGAACCCAGCCAUCAUAAGAUGGUUACCUUACACUGAAUACAUAGGUGUAUGGAGCGAACCAGGGGAACUGAAACAUCUAAGUACCCUGAGGAAAAGAAAUCAACCGAGAUUCCCUUAGUAGUGGCGAGCGAACGGGGACUAGCCCUUAAGUGGCUUUGAGAUUAGCGGAACGCUCUGGAAAGUGCGGCCAUAGUGGGUGAUAGCCCUGUACGCGAAAAUCUCUUAGUCAUGAAAUCGAGUAGGACGGAGCACGAGAAACUUUGUCUGAAUAUGGGGGGACCAUCCUCCAAGGCUAAAUACUACUGACUGACCGAUAGUGAACUAGUACCGUGAGGGAAAGGCGAAAAGAACCCCGGAGAGGGGAGUGAAAUAGAUCCUGAAACCGUAUGCGUACAAGCAGUGGGAGCCCACUUUGUUGGGUGACUGCGUACCUUUUGUAUAAUGGGUCAGCGACUUAUUUUCAGUGGCGAGCUUAACCGAAUAGGGGAGGCGUAGCGAAAGCGAGUCUUAAUAGGGCGUCUAGUCGCUGGGAAUAGACCCGAAACCGGGCGAUCUAUCCAUGGGCAGGUUGAAGGUUGGGUAACACUAACUGGAGGACCGAACCGACUACCGUUGAAAAGUUAGCGGAUGACCUGUGGAUCGGAGUGAAAGGCUAAUCAAGCUCGGAGAUAGCUGGUUCUCCUCGAAAGCUAUUUAGGUAGCGCCUCAUGUAUCACUGUAGGGGGUAGAGCACUGUUUCGGCUAGGGGGUCAUCCCGACUUACCAAACCGAUGCAAACUCCGAAUACCUACAAGUGCCGAGCAUGGGAGACACACGGCGGGUGCUAACGUCCGUCGUGAAAAGGGAAACAACCCAGACCGUCAGCUAAGGUCCCAAAGUUAUGGUUAAGUGGGAAACGAUGUGGGAAGGCUUAGACAGCUAGGAGGUUGGCUUAGAAGCAGCCACCCUUUAAAGAAAGCGUAAUAGCUCACUAGUCGAGUCGGCCUGCGCGGAAGAUGUAACGGGGCUCAAACCAUACACCGAAGCUACGGGUAUCACGUAAGUGAUGCGGUAGAGGAGCGUUCUGUAAGCCUGUGAAGGUGAGUUGAGAAGCUUGCUGGAGGUAUCAGAAGUGCGAAUGCUGACAUGAGUAACGACAAUGGGUGUGAAAAACACCCACGCCGAAAGACCAAGGUUUCCUGCGCAACGUUAAUCGACGCAGGGUUAGUCGGUCCCUAAGGCGAGGCUGAAAAGCGUAGUCGAUGGAAAACAGGUUAAUAUUCCUGUACUUCUGGUUAUUGCGAUGGAGGGACGGAGAAGGCUAGGCCAGCUUGGCGUUGGUUGUCCAAGUUUAAGGUGGUAGGCUGGAAUCUUAGGUAAAUCCGGGAUUCUAAGGCCGAGAGCUGAUGACGAGUCAUCUUUUAGAUGACGAAGUGGUUGAUGCCAUGCUUCCAAGAAAAGCUUCUAAGCUUCAGGUAACCAGGAACCGUACCCCAAACCGACACAGGUGGUUGGGUAGAGAAUACCAAGGCGCUUGAGAGAACUCGGGUGAAGGAACUAGGCAAAAUGGCACCGUAACUUCGGGAGAAGGUGCGCCGGUGAGGGUGAAGGACUUGCUCCGUAAGCUCAUGCCGGUCGAAGAUACCAGGCCGCUGCGACUGUUUAUUAAAAACACAGCACUCUGCAAACACGAAAGUGGACGUAUAGGGUGUGACGCCUGCCCGGUGCCGGAAGGUUAAUUGAUGGGGUUAGCUAACGCGAAGCUCUUGAUCGAAGCCCCGGUAAACGGCGGCCGUAACUAUAACGGUCCUAAGGUAGCGAAAUUCCUUGUCGGGUAAGUUCCGACCUGCACGAAUGGCGUAACGAUGGCGGCGCUGUCUCCACCCGAGACUCAGUGAAAUUGAAAUCGCUGUGAAGAUGCAGUGUAUCCGCGGCUAGACGGAAAGACCCCGUGAACCUUUACUAUAGCUUUGCACUGGACUUUGAAUUUGCUUGUGUAGGAUAGGUGGGAGGCUUUGAAGCGUGGACGCCAGUCUGCGUGGAGCCAACCUUGAAAUACCACCCUGGCAACUUUGAGGUUCUAACUCAGGUCCGUUAUCCGGAUCGAGGACAGUGUAUGGUGGGUAGUUUGACUGGGGCGGUCUCCUCCUAAAGAGUAACGGAGGAGUACGAAGGUGCGCUCAGACCGGUCGGAAAUCGGUCGUAGAGUAUAAAGGCAAAAGCGCGCUUGACUGCGAGACAGACACGUCGAGCAGGUACGAAAGUAGGUCUUAGUGAUCCGGUGGUUCUGUAUGGAAGGGCCAUCGCUCAACGGAUAAAAGGUACUCCGGGGAUAACAGGCUGAUACCGCCCAAGAGUUCAUAUCGACGGCGGUGUUUGGCACCUCGAUGUCGGCUCAUCACAUCCUGGGGCUGAAGCCGGUCCCAAGGGUAUGGCUGUUCGCCAUUUAAAGUGGUACGCGAGCUGGGUUUAGAACGUCGUGAGACAGUUCGGUCCCUAUCUGCCGUGGACGUUUGAGAUUUGAGAGGGGCUGCUCCUAGUACGAGAGGACCGGAGUGGACGAACCUCUGGUGUUCCGGUUGUCACGCCAGUGGCAUUGCCGGGUAGCUAUGUUCGGAAUAGAUAACCGCUGAAAGCAUCUAAGCGGGAAACUAGCCUCAAGAUGAGAUCUCACUGGAACCUUGAGUUCCCUGAAGGGCCGUCGAAGACUACGACGUUGAUAGGUUGGGUGUGUAAGCGCUGUGAGGCGUUGAGCUAACCAAUACUAAUUGCCCGUGAGGCUUGACCAUAU